RNAcentral lists this ribosomal RNA (474 nucleotides) under uncultured Desulfobulbus sp. RNAcentral's name for it is "bacterial SSU rRNA". It matches the Rfam family "Bacterial small subunit ribosomal RNA", at positions 916 to 1381 of the family's 1533-position model. The record is from RNAcentral. Lineage: Bacteria; Pseudomonadati; Thermodesulfobacteriota; Desulfobulbia; Desulfobulbales; Desulfobulbaceae.
GACGGGGCCCGGCACAAGCGGUGGAGUAUGUGGUUAAUUCGAUGCAACGCGAAGAACCUUACCUGGUCUUGACAUCCCGGAGACCCUUAGGAAACUAGGGGUGCUUCCAUCUGGAAGAAUCUGGAGACAGGUGCUGCAUGGCUGUCGUCAGCUCGUGUCGUGAGAUGUUGGGUUAAGUCCCGCAGCGAGCGCAACCCUUGCCUUUAGUUGCCAGCAGUUCGGCUGGGCACUCUAAAGGGACUGCCGGUGUUAAACCGGAGGGAGGUGGGGAUGACGUCAAGUCCUCAUGGCCUUUAUGACCAGGGCUACACACGUACUACAAUGGCCGAUACAAAGGGCAGCGACACUGCGAGGUGAAGCCAAUCCCGUAAAAUCGGUCUCAGUCCGGAUUGGAGUCUGCAACUCGACUCCAUGAAGUUGGAAUCGCUAGUAAUCGUGGAUCAGCAUGCCACGGUGAAUACGUUCCCGGGCCUU